RNAcentral lists this long non-coding RNA (42053 nucleotides) under Olea europaea (common olive). RNAcentral's name for it is "long non-coding RNA (OEUR_LNC007833)". Lineage: Eukaryota; Viridiplantae; Streptophyta; Magnoliopsida; Lamiales; Oleaceae. The record is from RNAcentral.
UUCAACAUCCUGAUUGUUACAGGUCAACAUACAACAAAUAUCGGUUAUAAAAAGAUGAUCGUAAAAAUUUGGCGAAGGGCACGUGGCCAUGGGUCUUUUAACUUUCAUGCGGUCUUAUAUGUGCUUUACUAUUUGCUUUUUUAGUUUUCCUUUUCUUUAAUCUCUUUCUAAUUGGGCAAGAAUUAGUUUCAUCCUCAACAUUAUGAUCUUUCAGGAAGAGAGAGGCAAUAGUUAAAGGUCAGAUAUUUAGCAAGGCAAUAUUUCUUGUAAAAUUGAUAAACCCUAAAAUCACACACUAAAGUUAGUAACUAACCGCUCCUUUCCCUCCAUGUGCAUGGUGAGAACAAAUAACAGCAUCAAAAGCCCCUGCUGCAAAAGCCGCGUCCCUGACUGCACUUAAUUCAGCUUCAGAAUCAGUUGAAAAUUUGUUGAUAGCCACAACAACAUUAACACCAUAAGCCUUUGUAUUUAAGAUAUGCCUGGCCAGAUUAAUGCAACCAGCUUCAACAAGAGCCACAUUCUCAGUCACAUAGGCAUGGUCAAGAGGCUUGCCAGCCACAACCUGAGGCCCUCCACCGUGCAUUUUGAGGGCCCUAAUGGUUGCUACAAUAACAGCACACUGAGGAGUUAAACCGCUAUAUCGACACUUAAUAUUCAUAAACUUCUCUGUACCAAUAUCAGCCCCAAAGCCUGCUUCAGUAACCACAAAGCCACCAGGUCCCACCAGCUUCAAUGCUAUUUUAUCUGCAACAAUUGAUGAGUUCCCAUGAGCAAUAUUUGCAAAAGGACCAGCAUGAACAAGAACAGGGGUGCCCUCGAGAGUCUGCAUCAAUGUAGGAUUUAUGGCAUCUUUCAUCAACACAGUCAGAGCACCUCCAAUUCCAAGAUCAUCAGCUGUAAUGGGAUCACCAGCCUUGCUAUUUCCAAUUACCAUUUUCCCGAGCCUCUCUCUCAUGUCAGAUAGCGAAGUUGUGAGAGCCAACACUGCCAUUAUUUCACUAGCAACUGAAAUAUCAAAUCCCGUUUCUCUUACCAUCCCCUUUUCUUCAGGACCCUGGCCAAUAGUAAUUUUCCUCAAGAAUCGGUCAUUAACAUCCAUUACUCUUCUCCAUGUGAUGGAUUCGGGAUCUAUAUCGAGCCUGGCAAAUUUCUUAACUUCCUCUGGUGUAAGCUCUUCUGGGUUGGUCUUGGAGAUGCCAAGUUUCUUCAACCGGCUAAACAUUAUGUUGUUGAAACUCCUUUUACCUUCUUUGUUCGGUGGGCAUAACCGGUUGAAAAGAGCCUUAUCAGAUUGUGUGGAUUCAUGGAAGAUUCUAGUAUCAAUGGCUGCAGCCAGAAGGUUAUUUGCAGCUGUUAUUGCAUGGAUAUCCCCUGUCAAGUGAAGAUUGAAUCCAUUGGAAUCACUUGGCUAUAGCCUCCACCUGCAGCACCACCUUUGAUUCCAAAUGUUGGUCCUUGUGAUGGUUGGCGAAGGCAUGUGACCACCUACAAGAACCAGACAGGAGGGAGGUGAAAAAGAACCUCUCCUUAGAACAAUGUAAGAAAGAAAGAUAUGUUAAAAUAUUCCACGUUUACAAUUGGUCAGGCUAGAAAUUUAUUUCACAUUUAAGCCAGAUAACUCUAUCUUUGACACCAUCAAAUAAAUUUACUAUAAAUAAUAAUGCUGAAGGAGAAUGUUACCACUAACGCAUUCUAGAAUGAAGAAGUUUCCGAUUGUUAGAUGCCCUAUAACUGGCUCCAGGGAUGCGUCAAAAUUCAAUUCCCAAUCAUUGGAUUCUAACGUAUAAUUUUUGUCUGUGUGUAAAAUGCACUUCAUUAGUGUGGUAAGAUCCAUGCUUUCAAAGUUUAACAGUUGUUUCUUCAUGCUUAAUAGGAUUUUAACUCUGUUCUGCUCCCAAUUGUAUUGUAAAUUAUACCCACAAUCCACAUAUCAAGCAACAUCAAUAUUUACCUAAUUACUUUUUCCUCGUACUCUUCUUCUGGCUUUGAUCUCACUUCUAUAUUACUUGAAAGUCGAAACAGGUGUGCAGCAGAUAUAGAAACUGAUGCAUGAAAUAUCAACAUAAAAGACAAAUACAAGUGAAGUGACCCAAAUAUUACCUUUUUAUCAAGAAAAGCUCCCAAUGCUUGACAAAGACCAACAGUAGUAGUGGACUUGCCUUCUCCUAGAGGUGUUGGAGUAAUCCCUCCAACCACCACAUAAUACCCAUCUCCUCUACCUUGCAGUUCAUCAAUCACUGACAAUAAUACCUGCAAUGCUUACAUAAUUGAUGACCAUUAUUGAGGGGGUGGAAAAAGAGAGUUUAGUAGUGGAUUUUUUGAGAAUGCGUGGUUAAAAAAUAAUAAUAAUAAUAAUAAUAAAUAAAUAAAAAUUGAGUUUUACAUGCAAGAUGUUUUAUGGUGAGAAUGUGGAUGAAAAUGAUUUUGAGAAAAAAUGAGUUUUGAAAUAAUGGAAUCAAACAGGGGCUAAAAUUAAUCACCCAGUUCCCAUAGUGCAUACUCAUAAGCAUUUAUAUAGAUCAUCGCCUCGAUAUUAUAAAGGCAAUUGAAACUGAUUUACGAAGAAAACCCCAUUUAUAAACAGAAGUAAAUAAUCACCAUUCAUUAACGGAUUCCCUAUACGCAUCUUUAUUAAGCACAUCUACACAAGAACGCAGAAAAAAUUAAUACCUUGGCUUUGUACUUGCCAUAGAGAUCGUAGUGGUGAGGACUAAGAUUGAGUUCCUGGGCAAUCUCGGAGAUGUGAAGUGGUUCAACUGAAUUAGCUAUAUCUAUAUCUGCCGGCACAGGCGAUGCCACUUGCAGUUUCCUCACUGUCUUGCUCAUUAUUCUCUUGUUUCAAUGCAAAAUCUUGGAUUUCCCUCUUGUGGGCUGUCUUAAGAUAACGAUUUUAGACCUGAAUAUGUUCAAGAUCUCACAGUAUCUAUGUAUCGAUUAAUUGGUUGAAGGGUGUGAUGAAGAGUAACUGUGACGAAUCAUUGGAGUGGGUGGUGGCGGUCUUAUCUUUGACUAAGAUAAUCAUGAUGCGUUGGAAUGUGUGAAUAUUGUGGCUGGCAAAUGUUAAUGCAACACGUGAAAUGAUUAAAAAAAAAAAAAGUAAGGAAAAGAAAAAUAUAUAGCAGAUAUUGGAGAUGCGGGGUAUCGAUCCCCGUACCUCUCGCAUGCUAAGCGAGCGCUCUACCAUCUGAGCUACAUCCCCUUUGAUAACUGCGGUGUUCACCCUUAAAUAUAUCAAAUAAUACAGAUCGCUUUUGGGACACACAUCUUCAUCUCUAACCCAAAAUAAUAUGGUUGAUUCCACUAAUAAUAUAAAUUGAUCCCCAGUUUGGUAGAAAUUAAAAUUAGACUUUUAAUAAGUUUGGUAGAUUUGAUGAAAUUUAUAAUUAAAAUUAAUUGUUGACUUUGACUUGAAUUAAAUUUUGAUUUUAAUUUUUACCAAAUAAGGGUUAAAUAAUAACAUGGUUGUUCCUCCUACUGUCCUAUUCAUAAAUUUGACAUACUUAUUUGAUAAAUAAUCGUGACUUCUAAUUUAAAUCAAUUCAAUGCUCAAUAUGUAUUUCAUUAAGAUUAUAAAAGAGUUUGUUAUAAUCACCUGAAAUCCAAAAGAUGUUGAGCGUUGCAUUGAUUUAAAUUAAAGGUCAUGACUAUUUAUCAAAUAAAUUUAUCAAAUUUAUGAGUAGGACGAAACGGUUCCGAAAAUAAUAAUAUUUGUCAUUAGUCUAUAUGGUGAUUAGGUCACAUCAUUAGAAGAAGUUAAAGAUACAUUUUUAUUUAUUGAACAAAAUAUUACAAUUGUCACAGUAUCACACAAAUUGGUGAUGACUCUACGUGGUGAUAAAUAGCAAUAUUAAUCAAAGUAGUCCACUUUCUUCUUCCGUUUGUUACAAAUUACUACAAAUUUACUAAUGCCAUGUUUGAAUUUUUAGGAAUUCAUUUUCUGCACUUGUAUUGCAUGUCUUAUGUAUUCAAAUAAAAACUACCAGUCAUUCCUUAUCGGCAACAUCAUAAAUUAGAGGGAAAUCCAAAUAUAAUUAUGAGAUUUGGGAUUAUCUUUUUAUUUUUAUUUUUCUUAAAUUAAAAAAAAAAAGGUAAACAUGUAAGCGAGAUGGAUUGAUUCGAUUAAUCAAUGGCUUGAGACUUCAAAUUAUUUCACCAUGAUUUUGUUUAAAAGAAAAAUCAAAUCAAACUAAUUACAUGUGUCAAAUUGACCCGAACAAACCCGAGUCAGUUCGGUUGGAUUCAUUUGAUCAAAUUUUCGAUUUUUUGCCCAAAACUAAAAGCAAGCACACAUCACUAUUAAAACUAGGCGAAAUGUGUUUUUCACGCACAAUUCAUUUAAUAGAACUUUUGAUUUUGCUUCUACUUUUUGUAGAAAGAUUUUUUGAAGAAGUCAUCAUCUUCAUUUGAAAACUCUUAUAAUCAAAUAAAGUGCUUCUAGAUCUUUUACAUUUUAGAAAUAGUUUAAAAUUUUUUAAACACGUUAUCAGACGGACCCGAGUUUUGCUGGGGUGCCAAAGGAGGAUUUCACAGAACCCCUGCCGACUACUCAUAACAGAGAAAUGUGUGGGUAUUUUUUCGAUAAUUUCUUAUACAGGUGAAUCCCGCAUAAAAUCCACCUGGUGUGAGUAGUCGGUAGAGAUAACCCCCUACCUUGGUAAUCCAGCAAAACUCGACGGACCCUUAUGCUCAUUCAAGAAAUGAUUAUUUGCUUUGACCAUUCAUCCCCAAUCAUUGAUAAUGAAAGUACAACUAAGUUUUUUUGAAUAGGAUGCGUUCAUGCAAACGUUAAGCCCUAUUUGAUUUGGAUAAAAAAUAGAUAUUGAUGAAAAUUGAAAUGUGGUCAAAAAAUUAUGAAUUUCAUGAAUUAUGUGAUUAAAAAUAAUUUCGAGAAAAUUUUGAAUUGAAAGUAAUGGAGGUCAAAUGGGGGCUAAAAUUAAUUUUCGCUUCAUUAAAGAAAAAAGUGUUAAAUUUGUCUGUUUAAGCAGCAUUCUUUAAAAAAAUAUACAUUCUUAAAACUCAAUAAAAUAAUAUUACACAAAUUAAAAAAAUUAUUUUUUAAUCACACAUUCUCUAUCAAUUUAUUAUUUCAAAAUACAUUCUUUUAAAAUAAUGUUGCUCAAACACACUUAAAAGUUGAAAUCAGCACUUGGUUCUUGUAGUGGGCUUCUACCCGGCCUAUAUACAAAUAUUUUCGACACGCUAGAUAGCCCACGAACACUAAAUUCGGAGAAAAUUGAAAGAGAAAUGCUCAAGGUACAUAAUUUUUGAUACAAAUGAGUGUUCACCCCUCACAUAAGUGGGCCCCGCUCGAAUAGACAUUAUGUAUAAAAAAUUGAAUAAUUCUAUAUGUAUAUUAUGAUAUUCAUAAGAGUGUAACAUACAUAUGAAAUUAAAUAAUUGGAAGGUUGAAAAAACUAUUUUUCAUCUUUUCAAUAAUGUUAUACUAUUUGUAUAUUAUGAACACCUUUAUAAACACUGUAUAUGUAGCAUAACCCUAACAAGUUAUGCACAAGUGUCUUUGUCCAAACUGAAAACUGGUGAAAUGAGACCGUUACAUUACAAAUCCCAUUUCUAACAAAAUUACAAUUCACUCCCUCACCUGUCAACAAUUUCUCCCUCUCUCCGUUCCCCUCGCUGCCAUCGAUUCCCUUCUUCCGGCUGCAAGUAAGAACUUGUAUUUGGGUGAUUUCGUUUUCAUAUUUUUCUUUUCGCGUUCCACAUUUUCUCUACUUGCAUUAUAAAACCCUAGUUCUUGACAAUAAUUUUGAAAUUGGGGAUCAUAUCAAUUUAAUUUUUCAUUUUUUCCUUAUUUAAUUAUAGUUCCUUGUGAAAGUUUUUUUUUUCUUUGUUUUACCCUACUUUCUUGAUGUUUAUAGUUAAUUUUGACGAAUUAGAAAAUUUGAAUACUGUGCGAAUUUCAAAUUUGGAACGUUCGUGCGUACUUGUAAAUGUCAGUAUUGUUGCGAACAUUGUUUUCCACUCUAUUCAGGGUGAAAUUAUCUGUGAGAAAUUAACAAUUGGAAUCUGCACGAUUAUUUACUUCCUCAGUUUAUAUUUUUGGGCACUGCUAGAUUUUGCCUGAAUUGAGAUCAAUAUUCUUAAGUGUUAUUGGCUUCCAAGAGCCACAAAUUAUUAAUUUCUAAGGUUUUUCAUGUUACAAUUACUCUGCGUCACAGAAAAAGACAAAAGAAGCAACACAGAAACACGGAUAUGAACUAAAUGGGAGGCAAGUAUAUAAAUGCAGCCUUUUAAUUCUAAUUGAAGGCUAUCUGGAGUUCAAACCCAAUCUUAGUGGGUGCUUUAUCAUAUUUCUCUUGAGCACAUAAUAUUUGUUAAUUAUUAUAUCUUUUUACUUGAAAAAUUAUAAUGAAUUAUUGUCUUGCGCAGUGUUUUCCAUAUGACCAGUAAUUGUGAUUGGUAAAAUUAUGUAGUAAUAGGAAUAAGAAGCGGAAUUCAAUUUUGAAAAAUUUAGUAUAAAAUCAAAAAUAAAAACUGAUGGUUUUGGAUUUUUUCAGUAAGUCCUAUUUGUCUCUUGUAAUAAAUUUAUCUAAUACAAUUUUAAUAUGAUAUGCUUUUUUGGCUUGCUUGUCUCUUUAUUUUACCCUUGGCCAUUGACAGUUUUUUUGCUUCUGUAGACUAUAAUCUCUUAGUAUUUCUAAGCAGCCAACUUAUUGAGGCCAUGACCAUUAUGAAGAAGGUUUGUCUCAAAAUCUAAUGUCCUGCAUAUGAUUGUUUUUAUCAGUAUAUCUUUGUUAUGAACUUCUUCGUCUACUCAUUAUGUGUAUGAUUAUCUUUUUUUGCCCCUCUCGCUCUUUGUUCUUUAGUUGUCUUACCACUCGUGGGUGACGAUGAAGAUGUAUAGAACUGUCAAUGAAGUUACUUCUAAAUUCUAAUCGUAUUAGUUAGCCUUUUCUGAUAUAGGUCACUUGUAGAAGAAGUAUACGUUAUUUAUGCAUCUGAAUAUGAAUGUUUUUAUAUCCUUCUCAUCUGAUUUUAGAAUGCGUUGUUGUCACCACAAAAGAUGUAAGACCUAAAGACAGUCCCUCAACAGAGAAUAAAAUUGUCCACAUUAUGCUCGAAGUUCAGAGUUUUAUAACAUUAGGAUCAAUGGCAUCUGAAUAUGAAUGUUUCUAUAUCCUUCUCAUCUGAUUGAAGAAUGCAUUGUUGUCACCAGAGAAGAUGUAAGACUUAAAGAUAGUCCCUCAGUAGAGAAUAAAAUUGUCCACAUUAUGCUCAAAGUUCAGAGUUUUAUAUCAUUAGGAACAAUGGUGUUUGCAAGGGAAAGUCAUUCUUUUGAUUCUGUUUUAUUGGAAUUACUCUCUGUCCCUGCCCUGUUACCAGUGACAUAUAGAGCAUAAUGGAUUUUAUCUAAAUAUAGACCAGCAAUGCAUGUAUUAUUACAUUAUACUCAAAAUACAGGAGAUAGGUCCAAAGCUUGCAUGUUUUAAGUGUUUUGCUUGACAAAGACAUUGAUUUUAAUGAUGAAAGAUGCUUGUUUAGGCAAUUAAACAUCUGACUACAUUGUAAAUUUUUCCCUUUUAAUAGUACUUUAUGUGGUUUUUAUUCUUAUAGAUACAUGGACAUCUUUGAGGUUUAUAAAUGUAGUCUAAAGGGAUGAUCACAUGUGAAGACAAUUAAAAGAAGAGCUUCUUGUUUUGAUUGUUAUGAGUGGGAGAGGAAAGCUGAAAACCCUCCUAGAUAAGGUGUUUAAUUUUUUUUAGUGAGUUAAAACUUGAUAAAUUCCUACUUUCACUCUAGUGUCAAUAAUGUAAGAGUAAAACUACACUUUGAUACGAUUUUAAUUGGGUAACUACACCUUAAUUUGAUUUUAAUGAAGAUAAUUUUGUCAAGUUCCACUGAUAAUAAUUGAUAAUGUGGUAAUCAAUAAAUAUUUGCAAUUACACACAACCAUUAUUUGUGUAAAUGAAAGAGGUCAACUUCAAUGAAUUUAAUGACAUGCAUCAUUUAUUAAUUGUUAUGUCAUCGAUUUCCAUCAGUCCAAGUAAAGGAAUCAGAUGGAGUUAUCAAUUGAAAUCAAAUUAAAGUGUAGUAUAGUUACCUCAUUGAACUGGAGUGAAAUUAUAGUAAAAAAUGAAAUCUACCCGUUCAAACAGACUUGUAAUCAAUCAUAAUUAGGAAAAUUUAAAUAAGUAUCGAUUAUGUAUUUAUAUAGUUUCAUGCAAUUCGAUCUAGGUAUGCUUAUUUGUUGGUCAUAAGCUUUAUCUUCUUUGUUUUAUCAUUGUCGGGAACUCGUAAUCACUGCUCAUGUUGUUCAUGCCCUAUCUAUCUGUAAGAUGGAAUCACGGUUUCGUGACUUCUUAUCUACUUUGGAUGUUAUGGAGAUAUGGAUGUAACUGUUCUGAUAUACUCAUUUAAAGACUAAUGUUGGCCUAUGUUAUAUUUGUCUUUUGUAUUUGUUAGCAGCAUUCUGGACGUAGUGUUACUUUGCAAGUAUUUGAUAAAUUGGUGGAGGAGAUUGGAUGUCCAGUUGACUUUGAACUUCCUGAAUGUUUAAAUAAAUGGAAACCUACACCCUACUCCUUUAUCAGGCGCAGUAUCCUUAAAAGCUUUAGUUCCUAUGAUUAGUGCCAUAUGUUGAUAUUUGUUAUUUUAUAUGCUUGUUCUCAUCUUUGUAACUCCUUUCCCAAUCAAGAUAUCCACUGUUCAUUAAUACCCUUUUUUGUAACUCUGUUUGGUCUACCUGACUCCCAUCUCUCCCCCUCCUUUUCGUUUUUUGUUGAUCUUAACAACUUCAAGAUGUAUAUCUUGUGAAGAAGGUUAAAAGGCGUCAGGAGGACGAUGGCAUCUUUUGUUCAUGCAGCUCAAUGGCUGGAUCAUCUGGGGUUUGUGGCAGAGAUUGCCUAUGUGGGUAAGGACAUCUAGGAUUAAGUUACUUUAAUAAUUUGAUACUGUUAAAUACAUUGUAGUGAUGGAAUUUUAGGACUAUACAUUGGUCCUUAAAAUGUGAAAAAUAAAUUUUAGAACCUCAUAUUGGUUCCAUAAAUGUGAGUUUACAAAUUUGGCUUGAGCAGGCUAUUUUCUUCCUUACUGUAUAUACAGUUAAAUUUGACUGAAUGGUAGCUCUACCUUAACAGAUUUUAGGACUAUACAUUGGUCCCCAAAAUUGAAAAAUAAAUUUUACGACCACAUAUUGGUUCCCUGCAAGUUUACAAAUUUAGCUUGAGUAGGCUAUUUUCUUCCCUACUGUAUAUACAGUUAAAUUUGACUGAAUGGUAGUUCUACCUUUACAGACAAUCUUAGUUUUUAUCCUUCAUAACCAUGACAUAAAGAGUUGAUGAACUAUUGUUGUUGUGUUGGCCUUUAAUGAAGGAAGAAUUUGGCCUUUAAUGAAGGAAGAAUUUAAGCGAAAAGGUUAAAACACAUUUUCCUCUGUGGGGGUUAUUUGGGCAGUGGCAAAGCCAGAUUACAACGCCUCUCAUUUUGUUGCCUUACACCUCGUAUGUGAAGGAUCAAACACCCUUUUUAUCCGCGGUGCGUCACUUAAAAGAAUGGUAUCACUGACUAGUCAUUCCUUCUAGUUCGGAUUUAUUUCUGGUGCUGUUAUGUAACACUGUCCGUCUGUUGGUGUAAAUCAAGUAUAGUUGAAACAAGAAUGUUUAGAUGGAUUUUUGGUAAAACAUGAAAAAGAUAAGAGUAAGAAUGAGAAUAGAGUUGGAUAAAGUCGUACUCAUUGAGGAGAUACUGCAGGGUAAUUGAUAGGAGUGAUUUAAUUAGUUCAACAAGGGCUGCCACAUGCACCAGUUAGGAAAAGUGCCUAGGAAGAUAUUGAACUAAAAUGACAUAGAAUGAGUAAUGACCAAAGGAUAUAUACCUUUCUGCUGGUGUAACUUUUGUGUUGACCUUUGAUAAAAUAGAGCUAAAGAAAAUACUCUAUGUAGCGAUCCCUAUGUACGUAUGUGAUAAGGUCUAGUUGAGUUAAGCAGAGCAUUUUAUCUUCUGUGUAUUUCCAGUGAAAAUCUCUCUGCAUGAUGGAGUAUUUUCUGGCUUUUCUUGCUUUAUUUUCUGGGAAAGUUAUACUUUGUUGUGCACAUUAAUAUUCUUUGGAUGGGAUCAUCAUUCUUUUUGAGCUGUUAAUUGAUACUUGAGUUCAUAUGUUUUCUGCUAUGGAUUGAAAAAUAUCUUUUCUUGAUUAGUAGUUUUUUUUUUUUUUGCAGCAUGCUCAUGUCGAGCUGCUCUUUUGCCUGUAAUUGUGGGAUCUCCUGUGUGAAUAAGCCAUUCCAUCAACGACCUGUGAAAAAGAUGAAAACAGUUGAGGUGACAGUUCUUUUUUAUCAUUACAACUAUAAUGAAACAUUUAAUCAAAACAAAAGAUCCCUUCUGCAGAUGCUCUCAUUUUCUUUUAUCAUAGCUUCUGGGUCCUGUUUGACUGAAAUCUUGGAAUGCGGUAUACACCAUGAGCACGUGCAAGCAUACCAAACAUCAAAACUUCUUCAAGAGCUUGAUAUUCAUUCAUGGACCCACUCUCUUAACACUUGCUGUUAGGCUUGUUGAGCUACUAGACAAGAUUGAGGAAGAGAGACGUGAGAUGUUUGUUGGUUCUACCUAUCUAGUACAAUAUGCCAAAUAUGCCCUUAAGUGUUUUGGGGAAUAAGUAGUUAUUUAUGUUUUUGUAGAGUUCUUGUUGUAGGAGGUCUGCCAUUAUGAUUUAUUAGUGUGCUUCUUUCAUUAAAGAGACGUGCAUCCCCCUUUUUACUUGACUAAUUACUUGUGUGAGGUUUGUUCUUAAUGGUGGAAGUUGAGAGCUUGAUACACAUUGUUGGGUUGGGAGUAUCACUUGAUUUAUGCUGUUUGUUCAGAUUGAUUUUCCAAGUCAUGGUCGUAUCUUAUAUGAUGUCAAGGAUCCUCUUUUUAAACUCUUCACAUUAGAAAAGCGCGUAGGCGUGCAAUAUGUUUUGCUUUUAGAACCAUCAAACCCAUAAUAUAGUUCUUCUGAAUCUGUGAACCUUUAUAAAUACAUUUUGCAAUGGUACAGAAACCUUGGUUGGGGGUUCUAUAAUCUGAGCUGAUGGUAGUGCUGCUUGGUUUAGUCCUACACUUCUAGUUCUUGGAUGUUUGUUCUCAUUCAGUUCUAUAAGAGGCCAUAAUUCUUUUUUACCCCAUAAAUGUGUAUUACCCUCACAUGACAUAUUCUGUUAAUAUUUUUGCUUUGUCAAUACUUCUGUAAGGUUCAUCUCUUCUUCAUUUCGCAUUGUAACACCAAUUUCUUAGAGAUUUGCUUUUUUAAGCAUUCUUUUGUCUAUUCUGAAUUGCAACGGGAGACCCUGUGCUCCUUUUGGUGCUAGCACAAUUCGUCGUACGUGCACAGCAUGCAGCUGAUUAUUGCCAUUUGUAUGUAGAUAUUUACGUUCUGUUUUCCUUGAUGUCUAUUAGGUUGAUUUUUGUGCACUGUACUUGUGCUAUGUCUGGUGGCAUGGGUUUGGAAUUAAUAAAAAAUCAAGUUGAAUCCAAUUCCAUCUUUCCAAAUACACUUUCCCCUUUUUUUUAUUUUUUAUACUUUCAGCCUUGUGAUUAUGAUCAAUAUCCGUAUAUUGUUACUCAUUCAGUUUAUCUGCAAAAAUGUGGAGCUGACGAACUCUCUCUCUCUCUCUUCAUUAUUAUUAUUAUUAUUAAUUUUAUUUAUUUAUUUAUUUAUUAUUAUUAUUAUUAUUAUUAUUAUUAUUAUUUUUGGAAGACUGAGAAAUGUGGACUGGGAGUUGUGGCUGGGGAAGAUAUUAAGCAAGGAGAGUUCGUGAUAGAAUAUGUUGGAGAAGGUGAAAAAUUAUCAGUUUUGCAUGUUUAUUUUAUCACUUUAUGUCUUCAACAUAAAAAUAUAAAUUGAAUGCAUUAUGUUACUCAUGAUUGCAGUGAUCGAUGACAAAACAUGUGAGGAAAGGCUUUGGAAAAUGAAACACCGUGGAGAGACAAAUUUUUACUUGUGUGAAAUUAAUAGAGACAUGGUGAUUGAUGCAACUUACAAGGGAAACAAAUCCAGAUACAUAAAUCACAGUUGCUGUCCCAACACUGAGAUGCAGAAAUGGUUGAACUGAUCCUUAUUCUCUGCAUUUUAAUCUCAUUUUUCUGUUAGCAUAGUUCUCACUCAACUUUUCCUUUCAGGAUGAUUGAUGGUGAAACAAGAAUAGGUAUAUUUGCAACUCGUGAUAUUGUAAAGGGCGAACAUCUGACCUAUGAUUAUCAGUACGGGUUAUUACUUGAACUUUUGAAGCAUAUUGUAACUGCUGAUUCUUUUUCUUCCAAGAAUCAUGAUCUCCAUGUCAAUCUAACAAGUAUCUCGCAGGUUUGUUCAAUUUGGAGCAGAUCAAGAUUGCUUCUGUGGUGCUACAGGCUGCAGGAAAAAGCUAGGAGUUAAGCCUAAUAAAUUGAAAAUGCCUUCAGAUGCUGCAUUGAAGAUAGUAGCAUGUCAAAUGGCUGCCAAUUCUCCGAAAAUGAAAGCAGCUCUAUCCUCCCUCAAAAAAGGGAUUACAGCCUCAAAUAAUUCUGAAAAAAUAGGAAAACAUGUAAGUUUUGCUUGAGCAUCAAGAUAGAAGACACAAAGUUCCACUUUUUUUACACACUGUAUUUAUCAUAUGGUUCUGAUACUUCUCAUUCCUGAAUUGAAUGGAGAAGUUAGCUCAGAUUGAAAGAUUCCAGUGGACUGGAUUAAUGGUGCCAAAACAUGAAUUGACCUCUUCCAUGGUCUGGCUGGGAUUGACUUUGGAAUAUGGUAUUGUUAUAGUUGAUUGAUUGGGCCUUGCAAAGUGUGUUUCAUGGAAGAUUGGGCCUGGAUUUCUGGUUCCGUUCCAGAAGAAGCAAUGGUGAGAUGAAUAGGAAAGGACCUAUGAGGACCAUGUGAAGGAGUUGAAGGAGGAAUAAAAGUUUUGCAUUUGAAAGUUUGGGUGACAGCUUGAAGUUACUGGCCAUUGAAAACAUGGUCAGCAAGGUUCAUAACUGAGCUACUAAGGCAUAGGAUGUCAUGGCAUUUGCUAAAAAAUAUAAAAAACUAAACCUAAAACAAAAAGGGGAAGGAAAAUAAUGAAAGCUAGAAACCUUAAAAUAAGUUUUAGAGAGUUUGAUGCAGUGACAAGUUUUUUUGCAUGAAAGGGUGAGAGUCUAGAGACUCACAUUUCUAUCUUUUUUUCUUGAAGAGGAUGGAGAAUUGUGAGAGAGUCGUCGUUGUUAUGUAGGAGAGUACUACAUAUCACAUGCUUUCCUGUCCAAUACCACUAUGUAUUUAUUCUUACCUUCUUUACACAUUCAAUAAAAGAUGUAUGUGUACUUAUGCCACUUUCUGAAGAUUUUAUAAAUGGGCUAGUAAGUUAUUGCAUUACCCUUUUUUGUAGGUCCAUUCAAAUGGAAUUCCUGCUGUAGGUGGGUUUCUUCUCAGAAUCAAUUGUCAGUUUUGCCAAGGACUUCUCCAUUUGAACUUGGAAAUUUUUGUAAUGUUGGUUAUUGUACUUACCUUUUCAGGAGGUUUAGGUUGUAAAUCUAUUUCAAGAAGAAAACCUCAUAAUUGCAUUGGUUCAGUAAUAAGAAUUAUUCGCUCUUUGGAUAAGAGGUAUUUCUGAUUCUCUGAUCUCCUUGAAUAUCAUUUAUUGAAUUUUUAUUUUUAUUUUUUUUGAAGCAUUUUAAUUGAAUUUUUCUGCAUGAAUUGUUAACUGCUCUCUAGGUGAUUAGAGUUUAAUCUAUAGUUCAUAGUUUAGAUGUUUCCAUUGUAUCUCAUUUUCACAGGAUCAUAAGUUUAUAUGCUGAAUAUUCUAUUGCAUUUGCUUCAUAUUUGUCAGGUCUUUUGGGAUAAUAAAACGAUUUGAUAAGGCCACAAGAAGACAUUCGGUGAGGCAGCAAUGGCUCCUUGUUGCAACAAAUACUUUUGGUUUGCCAAAAAAUAUUAAAAUUUUCUAAUUUACUCGUCUUUUUCCUUCGCCAGAUCAUGUUUGAAGAUGGCAGUUCAGAGUUUCUAGACUUGUCAAAAGAAGAAUGGGAAUUUUACAACCAUUAAUCUAACUUGUAAGUACUUUCCCACGCUCCAAGCCGUUCCAAACAUUGAUUAUACUACUAGUUUUAUGAGUUAUCCUUUCAUGUGGAUGUACUGAAAAAUAUAAUUGAGGGGGAAGAAGAAAAGGACUUCAGUUUCAAUCUCAAAUGUGCCCACCAAAGAAGAAAAUUGUCAUGAUGCACGAUUAAAGACAUCUUUUAUUACUCUGUACAUCAUUCAUUGAGGGCCCGUUUGGUAGAGCUUUUGCUUUUAUUUUUGCUUUUGCUUCUACUUCUUGUCGAGGAGCUUUUUGAAGAAGCUACUUUAGGCCAACUUUCUCUAAAAGCUUUUCUAGCCAAAGAGCUUUAUCCAAAUAUGUUCAAAAACAAGUUCAUAGUCUCAGAAGCAACAUAUGAUUUUUUAAAAGCCCUACUAAACUAACCCUUAGCCUUAAAAGAAGAUGGAGAAGACAUGUUAGUGACCUCGAUCUGUUUGUUUUGGCAGGUAUUAGAAGUAAGAAUUAAUGUAACAGAUCAAGCCCCUGUUCUAACUCAUUACACAGAGACAUUUACUGCUUCAGCCCAAUCGGCAGGUUGUACCAUUUCCUGAUCUCAAUUCUUUCAGACAAUAAGUUCACCUUUAUGUUUCGUCUUACGAAUAAUAGUAUAAGCAAUGCAAAUGUAAUUUUAGCUUAGAAUUUGAAUGAUUAGAAUAUGCAGAAUUUGAAACAGUGUUGUUAACAGCAUUUCACUUGAUAAAAUGCAUUUAACUUUGAACUGCCCUUUUUCCUCGUCUCCAUCUAGACAUUUGAGCCAUGAUUGCUACUUUGCUAGUCUUGUUAUGUUCUUGGAAUUGCUUGAGAUCAAUGAUGAAAAUAAAUACAAUCUGAAUUUGAAAAAAGAAGUUAUGUUAUAUUGAAAAUGUUUUGUCUUGAAAAGAGAUUACUACUAUUGAAAAUCUAUUUCUGGUGAGCUAGUUCUCUUUUAGAGUGGACUUCUGAUAAGAUUUUUCCUAAAGAGUUUGGUAAUAAACGUCCAUUAUACAUAUUUUCAAGCAACUGCCGUGCAUCUGGCCGCCUUAGAAGACCUUGUUGUUCGGCAAACCAGUCCCCAGGCACGCGGGACACACUAGUUUCCCUCGACCUGCACCAAAACCCACCUGUCACGUAUCAUAAAUGCUACAGAUUCAAACCACCGAUAAAUACUUAGGAGCUCGAACUGAGUAAUGAGAGUUCUUUAUUUGGCAGGGUUUGUGUGGAAAAAGUACUCAAAAUGCAAUUGUAAUGAACAUUGCACUGUUGUCCUUUCUUGAUUAUGCUGUUAACGUUCCAUCAUCAUAAUUUCCUGUCAGUAUUAUCUCUAUAAUCUUCUAUCAUACUAAAUUACCGACGGUAAUAGUUCAACAGCAUAAUGAGCAUCUAUGGAGAAUACAGAGUGAAGAACCAAACUUCAUAUUAAUGAAUCUAUGAGUUGUGAUAAGUAACAAACCGUAACAAUUUGGACAUUCUGGAAACUCGUAAACAUCUUUGGCCCUUAUUCUAUUCUAAGCUUUCCAUUUUCCCGUACCACCGCACAUAUCACAUCUAAAUAACGAGCAAAUAAACAUCUCGCAGAUCAGUCUAGGUUAAUAAAAAGAGACAUAAAACUAGAUACGACUGAAUGUUUCGAAGAAUUCAAACAUCGACUCUUGUGGGCUCAAUGUCAAGUGUUUUGCAGUACUUAGUGUCCUUAGGCAAAGAUACAGGAGAGAACAGAUUUUGAACACAUUAAGAAAAAAUGAUUGUCCCAUAGUUUAUCAGGUUACGUUUCCAGUCAUGCAGAUUCUUUCCGCAACUAAGGAAGAGAUCUUGACGGAACUGGUACCAUACUCCAAGACUUAGAGUAGACGAUGACACUGCUCAUGUUCAUGGUCUUUGGUGCAGCACGAAACAAAUAAUUCAAACGAAAACUUUAAGAACACAAAUCCAGAAUCCACCAAAGAAUGAAAGAUAUAAGUCAAGAAGUUUUUUUAAUUUCAAGAUGCCCAAAAACAAUGAAUUAAUCCUUUAUUUAUAAGCGUUUAAAUGAUAAAUAAAAAAAUGAAAAAAUAAAAACUAGCAUAAAAGAAAUAAAUUGUUAAGAAUUCAAAAUAAAAAAUAGUACUAAAACUUUUAAAGGCAGUUUUCGAGUUUUAAACGAAUUCUAAUGGUUAAAAUUCAUCACACAUUACAGCUAUGACAUGAGUUCAAUUCGUCUUGUCGUUCUCUUUCUAAAAAGGUAUUAUGGGCCCAAAUUUGAGCUAGAGUGACAAAUUUGCAAUUUAUUAUUUUUCUCUUUUCAAUAUAACCGUUUCUCAAUCCACGGUCUUGAUGAAGUAAUAGCUGGGAUAAAACAUUAAUGAUGGAUCAACUAAGCCUCUCUAGGACUUUCUUAAAGAGACUAUUCAACUGUCCUAUUUUCCUUUUCUUUUCUUACAAAUUCAUCUGUUCAAAAGAAAUUUUGUUGCUGAAAAUUGCUUAAACGAAACAAAAUAACAGUGGACCUACAACAAAUAGAAAACUUCUAUGUGAAUGGUAUAGUCACUUCAUGCAAAAAUGCAUAAUAAAUCCUACUGAUGGUUGACAAAGCUCAAGAGAUGCUAAUAAGGUGUUUUACCUCAUUAUUUGCAGUCUGAGUGAACAGUGAUAUAAGGCAACCAUAAUAAGCAUUGGAGAUAAAGUAAGCAUUCAUACCUACAGAUAAUAGCACCACUACCCCCGCAAUUUUGACAUACAGCUCGCUCUUUGCCAUCCAAGGCACUUGCAUUUUGUCCAGAAUUAGAAACACCAGGAGCUACUAUCAAGGCUACUGUAGUACAUAAACAAGUCAGACACUGGCGAUUAAAGAUGUUGCUUUUUGAGAUCCCUGUUUAACAGAAGAAAAGAUUACUUGAAACAACAGGAGAUUUCAAGAGAAACUGAAUAAAACGUUUUGCAGUCAUUUCUAUGGAUGAAGAUGAGCUACAAUUUGAUCGGCAGAUAAGAAUACAGUUUAUAAAAUAAAUUAUAUUUAGCCAAAAUCAAAAGAUGAUUCUACCAACGUAAUAAUGAUAUAACUUAUGAUAACUGAUUGACUGCAUAUUCCUAUGCCAUCCAUCCAUGAAAACUAACGAGGACAUCUACUUUUUAUUUAUUUUUAGUUGGACUUUAUUUAUGUUUUAGAUUUUAUUUAUGUAGUUGGGCUUGUGUUGGUCCAAGUCCAUUCUACUUAGAGUUUUAGUCUUUACUAUUUAAACCUAAUUGCGAUAUAAUUUCAUUAGUUUUGAUGAAUUGAAGAAUGUUUUGGUGGUUUGUUGCCUAUGGCUUUUCCUUCCUCUCCCUCCUCCUCUUCCCCAUGAAUUUCUGCUUCUUUUCCUGUUCCUCCCCCAUUCUCUCCGGUUCUCCCCUCUUUCUUGCUUCUUCUUCCUAUUUUUUAACUUGUCCUGUAUCAAAUUUGGUAUCAGAAUCGAAACUUGGGUAAACCUAAUCUAUAAUACAAACUUCUUUCUCCCCUUCUUCCCAAAAUUUGUUGGAACAACACAAAUGAAAAGAUUUUCAGUGCACAAGCAGCAGAUUCCAUUUUUCUAGUUGUCAUUCGUUGUUGAAAAAAAAAAAGUUACUAUUCGGGUUACUGUUCACACCCAAUUUCAGUUUUUUUCCUUAAAUUUUUUAUUGUAGUUGCCAAAAAAAAAAUUGUUCACGUUACUGUUCACAGGCGGAAAUUUCAGUUUAGGUUUUUUCUGCAAUUUCAAUUCCCCUCCACCCAAAAAAAAUCUCGUUUGCUACUAUUUCUUCUAUACAAUUGUAGUGUUGUUUCACAAAUUCCAACCCUAACAUUCAAUCCUACUUACACACGGCCCAAUUCCAUUUAGCCCAACUAAUCCAGCCUACUCUCUGCGACCCAGGCCCACUCCCCAAACACUAACCCCAGCUGGCUCAUCUCUAUAACAGGAUCCAAACCCCUUCCCAUCUAGCCCAAUCCCAAAUAUCCGACCAAGCCCGAUUAUAACCAAUUCAUUAACAUCAAAUACCACACAGUUUCACCCGAUUCCUCUCUCACAACCACUCUCUUGCCGUCGCCUCUAAUCACCAUCACGCCACCACUUCAUUAUUUAUUGUAUCCAGACAUCCAAAGCACUACUGCUUCAUCGCCAUAGGCCACCACCACCAACCCAAGAUCAUACACUUCCACCAUCGUUACCACACAUAUAUUCCUCGUUCAUCUCAACAAUCUAAAAGCCAGUCACCACACUCAGUUUCACGUCCACACCAGAACCAGCACAAGUUACAGUCAAUAGGGGCUAAAACCAUUGGACACGAAGGGAAUAACAGAAGCAUAGUUGGGGCUCAUAAGUCGGCAAUUCAGAUCAAUCGGCAUACAAAUAAUCAAAACUAAACAACAGGGAGUCCUUGAUCUCUAUUUAGUAUUGGUUUAUACUACUGCUUCAUUUUUAAAAUUGCAUCAAUUAAAAUAUUGUGUUGCUGUUAUCAUGAGAAUUUUAGCCUUAAACCCCAUUUGAUUGAAACCAUUAAUCGAAUUGACACCAGUGAUCGAAUUGACUUUCAUUGUUCCCCACUUAAAUUGAUUGGAGAAUUUGACUAGUGUGCUGACCAUUGCUUUGCCAUUUUAUAUGUACUAGCAGUAUUAGCUUGUUUUGGAUUUAAUUAAUACCAAUAUUUAAAAUUAAAAAAAAUGGUACAAGUUAUUUUCCAUUGCUUGCACAUAUUGUUCACUGAUCUCAUCAUAGCACGUCAUUUAGCUGGUAUUACAUUGCAUGUAGUUGUAUAGUGGUCGUCUUGUCGUCUUUAUUUCCAAUACAUUAACCAUGGAUCCAUCCCAAUUUGAUGCACUCACUAGACAAUUAGCGCAACUUGCCACUAGUCUAUCGACUGUCCAAUAAGAUAUAACUGCUAUUCGUGAGGAGAGAAAGAACCUAGCUGCUAAGUUGAGCAAUUUUAAGCGAAUUCCUCGUUUGACUGACACUAAUUUUGAAGCGUCUCAUAAUAGACAAUAUCAUCGUGGACGAAGUGAUUAAGAAUAUUUUCGACGCGAUCGUAGGAAUAGGGAUCAGGUUCGUGAGCGAGAACAAGGCCAUGGUCAUCAUGGUACUCAUUCUCUUCCUCGUCGUAAGGAGUGUUUCGUUAGAAACAUUGACUUAGAUAUUCCUACUUUCGAUGGUUGCUUAAAUCAUGGAAUUUUUACCCAAUGGAACACCCUUACACAAGGAAAUCAGCUAGUAACUGAGUACAUUACUCAAUUUGAGGAAUUUCGAGUGAAAUGUCAUGUCGUUAAGGAUGAGGCCCUGACUUUGAGUAGGUUUAUACAAGGUCUAAGAGAUUAACUCAGGCGUAAGCUUUUCUUUCGAGGUGUCACUACUCUUGAUCACGCUUACUCUUUAGCUCAGGACUACGAGUUGCUUAUUAAUGCUCCAUAUGAAAAGCGGAGUCACCAUCGUUCACCCAUCUCAUCAGCGGCACCUCAACGUGAGUCUGCCAUAGAACCUUUUCCAUUUAGUGUUCCUCCCUUUUGGAAAAAUAAGUGUAAAGGUCGUGAUAGUCCAAUGCCCUCUUCUCCAUAUAGAAAGCAUAUUGACAACUAUUUUUCUGUUUCAUUGGCUCCACUUCCUCCCGUUAAGUCCCCUCUAGAACUUUCCCUGUCUAAUGUUCCUCCCAUCUUGGAAAAUAAGGGUAAAAUUUUUGAAUCUCCAAAGACUUCUUCUCACCUGCUAUGCAUCAGCUGUAAGGACUUUGGUCACAUCUCUUCCAAAUGUCCUAAUCGAGCCUUAGUCAUAGAAGAACGAAAGAAUGUAAUAGAAGAUCUAGUGUACGAACCUAAACUUGAAGAUUUUGAAGAUGAUAGUAAGGACACCUCCUUAGGUGGCACCCAGAUUCUUCCUGAGACUCUAGAUACUAUAUCCCAUGAUUUCACUAGUCACUUUUGGAGAACCCAGUCGCCUAUGGUUAACACUAAAUUGAAAUUCUCCACUGUAGACCAACAUCAGACUGAUAGUCAAAAUGAAGUCGUUAACCAAAGUUCUAACAAUUUAUUCAAGUCUCUAGUCCAGAAAAAUCUUGGGAAUUGGGACUCGAUCCCCCAACUGCUCAGAUUGCAUAUAACAAUUCUAUGAAUCAGUCUCUAGGUCUAAAUCCAGUUGAAAUUGUUCAUAGUUAUAAGUCUAGGCGGCCGUUAGAUCUUAUUCCCAUGUCCCCGCAUGCUAGUGUGUCAUUAUCAGCUGAAGUAUUUGUACGUCAUCUUCAUGACUUGCAUAUUGAGAUCAAUAAACAACAUGACACAAGUAAUGCAUUAUAUAAACUUCAAGCUGAUUUGCAUAAACAAUAUUUUGAAUUUAAUAUUGGGGAUUAUGUUAUAUUGCAAGCUUGUAGUGCUGGUCCUUUAAAAAUGUUAAAGCAUGUUGGUUCAAAUGCACGUAUCAUUGCCCUUUCAUCACAUUUUGGCUACUACUCUGCUUUAAAUACUGAGGAAUUCAUUACUUAUAAACACCGUGUUACUUCCUUUGAUAAUCUAUUUCUACUUAGCUUUAUGGACCCCCAACUUGAUUAUGUUGAUAUUUUUACUUCAAUACCAUCUAUCGCAACACACAAAGAUAAAAUUGAUGUUAUUUUAGAUGAACGUGUUGUAUUGACCAAUGAUGGCAAGAUUCAGUACUUCCUUGUUUGUUAGGUAGAUCGACGUGCUUCUUAUGCUCCUCAUUAUAUACAAUCAUGUAAAAAUCUUGAAGAUGAGGUGCAUGAGUAUUGGUUAUUUGAAAUCCAGUAUCAGUACUUGGUUAGAAGGAAAGAUCGCCCCCCUUGGUCAUAUCAUAUUCUUAGAAAUAAGCUACAGUUUUCAGUACUAUCAAUCAUGAAAUUUUGUUACUUGGUUCGUCAGAAAGAUCGUCCCCUGUGGCUUGACUUGACACAUUUGGAGCAUCAAAUUGACUGUAGUCUAUACCAUCUAUCAACUCGACAGGGUCGAGUUUUUCUCCCACCCCGAAAGAGUUGAUGAGGACAUCUACUUUUUAUUUAUUUUUAGUUGGACUUUCUUUAUGUUUUAGAUUUUAUUUAUGUAAUUAAGCUUGUGUUGGCCCAAGUCCAUUCUACUUAGGGUUUUAGUCUUUACUAUUUAAACCUAAUGCGAUGUAAUUUCAUUAGUUUUGAUGAAUUGAAGAAUAUUUUGGUGGUUUGUUGCCUAUGGCUUCUCCUUCCUCUCUCUCCUCCUCUUCCCCAUGAAUUUCUGCUUCUUCUCCGGUUCCUCCCCCCAUUCUCUCCGGUUCUCCCCUCUUUCUUGCUUCUUCUUCCUAUUUUUUAAUUCGUCGUGCAUCAAAAACCAUUUAAGCUCAUGGUCGAAAGAAAGGACCAUUUUGUAUCAGAAACACAGCCAUCCAAAACAGAUAGAAGAUGCCACUACUAGUUUUUAAUGUCAGAAUCCAAAAUGUACUAUGAAUUUCCUCACCCCCAUCACCCCCUUUUCUCUCUUUUUUGAUCUAAUAAUCAGGAUGACAUUAGAAGUAAAAAUUUCCAAUGGGGAAUCUUCAUUACACACUGCAAGCGCGUCUAUCAAAUGUGUCUAACGUCAGUCUCCUCUUCUAAAUCUUCGUUCUGACUAUUUUCAGUCAUUGUCUCAUAUAUUCGUUUAGAGGAGCUUGCUUUCUCUUUGGAUCUGUAUGGAAAUACUUCUUCAAAGAAUAUAGCAUUCCUUGAUUCCAUUAUCGUGUUUUUGUGUAUGUCUGGAAUUUUUGAAUCAUACACAAGAAAGCGAUACGCACUGUUAUUAUGUGCAUAGCCAAUGAAGACACAGUCUAUAAUUUUCGGGCCUAUCCUUACCUUCUUUGGUGGUGGAACAACCACUUUAGCAAGACACCCCCACACUCGCAAGUGUUUAUAGGUAGACAUUCUUCCUUUCCAUAACUCAUAAGGGGUCUUUUCCGAUUUCUUUCGAGGCACCUUAUUUAAAAGGUAAUUUGCUGAUAAGACAGCUUCCCCCCACAUGUUCUGAGGUAACCCAGAAUUUACGAGCAUUGCAUUCAUCAUCUCUUUUAAGGUACAAUUUUUCCGUUCAGCAACACCAUUUUGUUGCGGUGAAUAAGGGGCGGUGGUUUCAUGUAUGAUUCCGUGUUGUACACAGAAUUCAGCGAAUGGUGCUUCAUACUCACCACCUCGAUCACUUCGCAGCACCUUAAUUUUCUUAUUAAGUUGAUUCUCAACUUCAUUCUUAUAGAGAAUAAAUUUCUCUAUAGCUUCAUCCUUGCUUUCAAGCAGAUAUACAUAGCAAUAUUUUGUGCUAUCGUCGACAAAAGUAAUAAAAUAUUUGUUACCACCUCUUGUUUGUACAAAUUUUAGAUCACACACGUCACUGUGAACUAAAUCUAGUGGUUCUAUGUUCCGUUCAAUUGAUUUAAACGAUGACCUUGUCAAUUUUGUUUCAACACAAGUUUCACACUUAUCUUUGGAAUCGUUAUUGAACUUAGGUAUGAAGUUAGAGUUAACUAGUCUUCGUAAAGUAUCAUAGUUAACGUGUCCUAGUCUACCAUGUCACAAAUUGGAAGAUUCAAGCAAAUAAGCAGAAGAACUUACUUUAUUCAUUUUUGGUUUCACAACCAUUACAUUGAGUUUAAACAUACCGUCGGAAACAUAACCUUUUCCGACAAACAUUCCACAUUUUGACAGAAUGACUUUGUCUGACUCAAAAACAAUGCGGAAACCAUGCUUAUUCAAAAGCGACUCGGACACUAAAUUCUUGCGAAUUUUCGGUACAUAAAGCACGUUGUUGAGAGUCAGCUCCUUUCCCGAGGUCAUCUUCAGAACCACUUUUCCUUGACCCUUGAUUUCAGAAGUUGUUGAAUUUCCCAUGAACGACUUCUCAAAGCAAGUUGAGACAUCUCAUUUGUUGGUGGAGGCAUCAUUUCCUUGUAGCAGUUAUAUAACCUGUGAAUUGAAUUUUCUACCUUUGCUAACAUCUUCUUAGCAAUUUCUUCAUUAUACAUGAUUUCAAAGCCAACUUUAAAUAAUUCCAACUUGCAUCUCGAGUCAAGAACUGUUGCUAUGAACAAAUCAUUAAACUUUUCAUGAUUGCCCCAAUACUUAUCAUGUUUUCUUCGCAUGCUAAUAGCCAUUUUUCCCAUCAAACUAUUAGGAUCUUUAGCAAAUUCAUUCAACUCCAUAUGAAUUUCACAAAGCUCUUGAAAAAAAGUGUUAGAUGUUACAUAUAAAGAGCCACUAACUUUCAAUGUCAUAUCAUAGAAUGUUUUAAGAAACUUCACAAAAAUUUGUGCUUGAUUCUAAUCAAAUGGAGUGGGUGAACCACUUCUUUCAUUGCCUCUUCUCUCUUCAUCAAAGCACUUUGUGUAAUUUGCAUCACUUUCUAAAGCACCAAAUGCUUUUCUAAAUUUCAUUGCAAUGUCUAAGAUCAAGUAUGUAGAAUUCCAUCUAGUAGUCACAUCCAAACACAACAAAGCUCGAGACUCAAUGUUAACCUUCUUGCAGCUCUCCCUGAACUUUUUCAAUCGUGCUGGGAAAGACCUAGUAAACCUCACAACAUUGCGAAUUGACGAAAUAGAACUACUAAUUUCUUUUAGACCAUUACAAACAAUGAGUUUGAGAAUAUGAGCACAACACCUCAUAUGAAACAUUUCUCCAUCAAGAAUUAGACCAUGUUUAGUAUCCUAAAAACUCUCUUUCAAUUUUGAUAUUGCAAUAUCAUUAGAUGAGGCGUUAUUGACAGUCACACAAAAAAUCUUUUUAAUUCCCCAAUCAUGAAGACAAGAAAUUAACUCCUUAGCCACCAUAUUAUCCUUAUGAUUGGGGACUUGAAUGAAGCUUAUAAUACGUUUUUGAAGGAUCCAAUCAUCAUCAACCUAAUGAGCAGUUAAACACAUGUAACUAAUAUUUUGGAUCGAUGUCCAACAAUCAGUAGUUAAACAAACCCUAUGUCUACUCAAUUCUUUCUUCAAUUACUUCUUUUCAUCAAGGAACAAUUGAUAUAUAUCUUUUGCCACUGUAACUCUUGAAGGAAAUUCAAAUGUUGGAAAAAAACACUUUGUAUAUAAUUGAAAACCUUCAUCUUACACAUGUCUAAAUGGUAACUCUGCCAAUAAGAAGUAUUUAAGAAUCAUUUCUCUAGUCCCUUUUUGAGUGAAAUUAACAACUUGUCCAGAACUAGUAAUGCCUUCUAAAACAUCAUUUUUAGAUUUAGUGUAAUUACUCAUAGUCUUUUGCUUUUUCUUUGGAACCCUAUAUGGAUAUUUCUUACAUAAGCAUUCAAUAUGGUUUCGCAACGUACUAGUCCCCACAUUUUUGUUGCCAUACUUGUAAAGUUGCCCAAAGUAAAUACACUCUGCCUUUUCAUCAUGCAGUUUAAAAUGAUCCCAAACAUUAGAUAUUUUACCUCACUUUUUUUCCCUUAGAGGAAUCUGCAUGUUGAUCAACUUCUACACUAUCAACGGCUAUAUUUGGCUCAAGAUAAUUUUCUUCUUCAGAAAGGUCAACAUGAUCCAUAUAUGUGAUUCUAACAAUAGCAGAUUAAAAUAUAGAUAGCAUUAAUAUGCAAAUCUAGUACUCGAUUACAAAAAAUAAAAAAUAAAAGUAAAUAUUGCAGUCAUCCAAUAUUUUUUAGUAUACCAAAGUGAGUUUGUUUCUUGUGCAGCAUAGUUUUCCUGUUGACGGUUAGAAAAAACAAAUACGAACUCCUACAAAAGAAAUGUACAAUAAUGCGUAUUAGAAGAUAGAAACAUAAUUAUAGAAUAAACGAGAAAAGUGACACAAAGCAAGAAUUCUUUUAAAAGUUUGCUGCAAUACUCCGUGAUUUUGGUAUGAAACUAAUUAUUCCUCAGUGUCAAUCGAUCUGUUUACGGUACUUCAGUCUCCUCAGCAAAUCGACUAUUAUGCUCAUUACAAAAUACACUAGUUUAGAGGCACUAAUCAUGAAUUAGAAGGACAUGGAAUUUUGCCAUUAGAGCUCCAAAAGAUAGAAAAACAGCAUAUCAUUGUCAUGGGCCCCCUAUGAAAUGAAAGUGAAGAACAUGAUGAUUUUAUAGAUUAAACUUUUCAAAGGAAGAUUAAGCCCCCCAAAAUGAUUAUUAUCAAUUCUAUUUCAACAAUGCUUACGGAAACAUCCAAAUGAAGUGAGGAAUAACAAUUUUUUGUAAGGUUUCAAAUUUAUGAAACAACUUCUGCAUGCGAGAACUACUUGAAAAUGUAGAAUGAUGAAAAUUAAUCAAUGAAGGCGUAGGCAAAAUUGCUUUCUUGGACACGUUCUUACUGAAUAGUCUAUUCAAUUGAAAAUUCAACCGCACCCAACUGCCAUGUGAAAUAAGCAUGAUUAUAAUCAAUCAAGAGUUCUUUACUAAUUUAAUUUAUAUGAAAAAUAUCUUUAGUCGGUUGGGGGGUUAGUUACUUUGCUGAUUACUCCCUCCAAGUCCUGGUGAAUAUACUUAGCACUUUUCAAUUUUUGAAUCAGUCAACACCGCACUUUCCAAUUUAAAUAAACAUAAGGGAUGAUCAUCAAAUAGAACAUACCAAUAAUAAAAUCUCAUAGGUGUGCUAGGUGUCGACGACUAGAUGAGAGACGCGACACUUGAAGCUUCAGAGAUGGCGUCGGCGAGAGAGAGUGAGGGAGACUUGGAAUUACGUUUUAGGGUUUUGUUAUUGUGACUUGUGAGUCUUGUUUGGGUUUUUUUCUUUCUUUUUUUUUAAGCGGUCGGGUAAGGUCGGGUUUAUGACUUUAUGUGUUAUUUACGGGCUUACAGCCCAUUUAAAGUCCUAAAAUUUCAAAAAAAAAUUAUUUUUUAAUUUUUCUAUAUUUUUUCGCUGAUAUGAUUUGGUUUUAAACCGAAAUUAAAAUUCUCAAACCUAAACCAAACGGUUUUGACCAGUUUGGUUUGGUUCAAAACCAUUUCGUUGAUCGGGUUUGCGUGAAACCAAACUGAAGGUUUCUAAAAUGCGGUUUCGAUUUGAUUUUCCGAUUUUACAAUUUUUGCUUACAGCCCUACUGUUGGGUAUUCCCAUAUACUCAUCCUUUUCACUACUCGUCACAAGUUAGAUCGGGUCGUUGGUUGGUGGGCGAUGCGGUGUAGUCGUGAUGCCAGAAAUCAUGGAAUUCAAAAAAAUAACUUCGAAGAAACAUGACUAUGAACUUUUAUUUAUUUAUUUAUUUUGUGCAGUUUUAUCUUCAUGUGAAAUUUUAAGAUUUGGGACACGUUUCAGUUAAUUAUGUUUUCCAUGUGUUUUAUCUAUUUUAUAGAUGAAACUAGAAAGAUUUUUCAUGUUGGAUGUUUAAAUUAAUUUAUUUAAUUAUGGAAUAAAAGUUCUUGUUAACGAUUUUAAAUCUUUAAAAUUUUGGGUCGUUACACAUACAACCCUUAUACAUGAUUUAAUCCAAUACUUAGAACUCCAAAAUUUAUCAUUUAGUUUCAUUCAAACUUAUAAAAUCAGAGAAAACAAAGAUUUGACAAAAACAACACUAAAAUCCCAAAGUAUUGAACUGUGGUACCAAUUUCUACAUAUUGAAAUCUGGCAUCGAAACCAUUAAUAGAAAUUGCACAUUCCUGGGCAGAAUUUCAAAAAUAGCACCCUUGCAUUAAUUUUUGCCUGAAAAUUAAUUUAAAAUAUCAAAAUUCAACCUCAACUCCAUAUCUCAUUGUAAUACAUCAUAAAUCAUGUGUUUUAUAUCAUAUACAAACAAUCAAUAUGAAUAUUUAGGCUCUAAUUUACAAACCCAUUUCAUAUAUAUUUUUAUAUCCCCCCUUCAACACAAAUCUUUCAAAUAUACAUUUCUUUGAUAUAUUCUUGUUUAAUACCUUAAAUACCUACUAUUAACCUUUAAUUCUUCCCAAAUCUCGAAUUUGAGAAAUUUCCAUCAAUCCUAAAAUCAAAUAUCAUCCUUCAAUAAAUAAAACUUAUGCGUACCCUGAAAAAUUGAGAGGAAAUUGAAGACCAAGCCCUAUCCCCCCCCCCUCCCCCCCAUUUUUUCCUUUUCUUUCCCUUUCUUCACGAUUAUUCUCUCUCUCUCUCUCUCUCUCUCUCUCUCUCUCUCUCUCUCUCUCUCUGUUGUGUAUAUAUAUAUAUAUAUACACACACACACACACACACACACACACACACACACACACACACAAAUUUCAAAUGAAGAAAUAGCCUCUACAAUGACACUUGUCCUCCAUUAACUCCCAUAUUAGCUAUUCAAGUCCUUCCGUUUAUGUUUUGUAUAAAAUCUGCUCAUUAAACUUUCCAUACUUGUCAAAUAAAUCCUCCGAUUUAAAUGAUGUCCAUUAUAAAUCCUCAAGUAUCUAAAAUAUAAAAUAAGCCCCAAUAAAACAAUUUAUUCCAUUUAAGUCCAUAAUUGAUUUUGACUUUAACUAGUCUAACUUUUGGCUUUGAAUAAAUAAUAUUGACUGUUAACUAGUAUAAAAUGGGAUGUAACACAUGUGUUACUUUUAUAUUCUACCAUUGUUUUUUCAAGAGUAAUAUAUCAAUAUUCUUUUGAAAUAUUGAAAAAUAUAAUUCAUACUCUUUUGGAGCAAGUAAUAUUCUUUAGAGAUAUUAAUUAUAAUGUUGUGCUACUUCAUCAGCAACAACAACAAACUAUUAUUUUAAAAUAUUAAUUAUAAUGUUGAGCUACUUCAGGAGCAACGACUUGAUAAAUUAUUAAUUUAAAAUUUAUAAGAGAAUAUCUUACAAAUAUUUAAUUAGAUUAAAAAUAUUUAUUGCCAUAUAGACAGGGCAUGAUAAGAAAAUUAACUACCAAACAUACAUUAUGAAAAGAAAUCUUCAUAUAUAGAAAUCAACAGAAUUAACUAAAUCUUUUAUUGGCAAAAUAUUUUACUAAAAUGCAAAAGAUGCCAAACACGUGAAUUUCACAUGUACAGAAGUUAAAUGUUUGAAUAACUCUAGAUGAAUUAAUUCAAAAUGAAGUCCACGCAUCAAAAGGCAUGAAUUGGAUGCGUGAAUUGAUAAAAAAAAAAAAUAAUAAUAAAUAAAUAAAUAAAAAUAAAAAUUCACAUGUUCCAAAAUUAAUUUGAGUACAUAUGACAGUGAUUAUGCUUAAAAAACUAUAUUCUCUAAACUUUGAAAAAUUAAAUUAUUGUGCUAAUAAUGUGUUAUGAAAAGAGAGAAAAAGAGAAGAGUGAAUAAAAGUUAAUAGACUCGUGUGUACUAUAAUGAGAACCAAAUUUCAAUAUUUAUAGGUGAGGAUUAGGGAUAUAAUGGUAAUAAUUUAUAAGGCCGCAGGGGUACAAUUGUCAUUCACUAAUAAACUACUUUUUCUCAUGAAUUUUCUUUUUUCCUUCACAAUUAUUUUAAUUAAAAAUUAAAUAUAAUUAUGCUUUUAAUUAAAAUUGAUUUUUAAUGCACUUGUCGACGAAAACAUUAGGAGAACUAAGACUGAAGUUGAAUACUUGGUCUUUUGACUCCCUGUAAUAGAUUUAUUUGGCUUUACAUCUGUCUUGAGGUGAGAUACAUCGUCUAAAUUUUAGUUUUAUAUUAUCUAGUGAUAAUUUUAAUUUUAAUUUUUUCAGAGCAUUUUCAAAAAACUCUUUAAAUAUGAAAAACUCUCUAUUUUUUAGAAUCGACAUUUUAAAUCAUGCUCCAAGAGACUUACUCUCUAUAAUUAAAUGCACUCAAAGCAUUUCAAUUUUCAAUAUAGAAAAAUAAUAAAAUAAUCUAAAAAAAGCUAGUUAAGCCCUUGUUUGAGCUACAUUAUUUUCCUUAAAAUGUAUUUUUGAAUAGUGUAUUGAUGGAAAAUGUGUGACUAAAAAAUAAAGAAAAUUUUUGGAUUUACGUGCAAUGUUAUUUUAUUGAAGAAUGUGUUGUCGAAAUGAUGUCAAAUCACUGUUUAAAAAUGUAUUUUUUUGAAAAAAAUAUGGCUCAAACAUGGCCUAAAACAAAAAAUAGAGAAAAAUAAUAAAUAUUUUUUGAAGGUAUUAAAAUUAAAUGUUAAACAUAAAGAUAUUGUUGUAGUAUUCUAAAAUUUUAAUUCUCUAAAUUUAUAGAUGCUUUCCAAAUGAUAGAAUACGUUCUUCAAAAAUAGAGAAUCUCUUGAAAAUGCUAAAUCAAUUGGGUUUUGAAUUUGAAGGGUGAGCAGGUGGUGUCUCCAAGAGAUUUUAUUUUUAAAGAGUAUAUUUUACAAUUUAAAGAAAUAUAAGCUUAGAGAGUAAAAAUUUCUAUAUAUCACAAUAGUCUCUUUAUAUUUCAUACUUAAUUUUACUACUCUUUGUAUGUAUUUAUUAUUAUUAUUUGUUAUUUUCAUCAAUUUUCUCCAAAUUAAUAUAUCAUAUCAUCCAUUUUCUUUGUAUAUAUUGUUUAGUUGGUCAAUAUAUGAAGCAUUUAAGAUUGAAAUAUUUUGAAUGCAUUUAAUUAUAGAGAGUACGUUUUGCUCGUUUUCAUUUUAAAAUGUUAAGCAAGAAUGAUGAUUGAGUUUUUGGCAGUGAUUUAUAUUUGAUUAUUUUGAGCACAUUGUAUUGCAUGCAUUCUCGGAAAAUUUCACCUGAUGCAUAGCAAAUGGGCCAAAACUUUAGAUUUUUAAGAUAGACUUUUUUCGAAUGUAAUAAUUAAAAAACUUAUAGUGCGUUUGGUUUUUGUCUCUGUUUUCUAUUUUUAAUUUUAAAAUCGUUUUCUGUUUUGAAGGAUUAUUUUAAGGUUGCAAAGAAAGCAUUCGGUUAUUCAUUUUGAAAAAUAGUUUCUCAAAACAAAAAAUUAGAAAUCACGUUUGGUUUUAAAACUUUAGAAAUAAUUUUAUGACAUUUUAGAGGAGCAUAUAGAGGGGGAGAGAGAGAUAUUUGUAUUUGAGUAAGUUUUGUGCGAUUUUAUUAUUUAUUUUAAUUUGAAAAAUUUUAAGUUCAUUUUCCUUGUUUUGAGUUUUUUUGAGUGUUUUCAAUGAAAUUAUUCAAGACGUCAAAAAGUCAUUUUAAGUUUUGUGUUGUAAAAUUUUCCUUGUUUUUCAAAAAUGUAUUUUUGAAAAUAACAUAGCAAACACAUUUUGAAUGGUUUAGAAAAUUGAAAACUGAAAAUGGUCUCAACAUGACAAAUCAAGUGUACUCUUAUAAUUCUUAGUUAUGAAUAGAAAUAGUCAGAAAAAAUUUAUAUAAAAAUUGUUAUUGAAAGAAGAGUAAUGUUAUUUAGCACAUUAAUGUUAAAACAUCGAUUUAGAUGACAUCAAGUGAUAUUAAAUGAUAAUAUUAGUAGUAUUAGAUAGCAUAAUUCUUUAAAAAAAAAAAAAAAGGUCCAAAAUUAAACGUUAGUAGAUAAGGACGGAGUUAGACCGCGGUCUAGGGAUGUCAAUUGGGCUCGUUAUCUCGGACCACCCGUGGCUCGAUUCGAAAAAAGUCUGAGCCGCCUCUGGCCAAGCCCAAGCCCGAGCCCAAGCCUGCCCGUGUGGCUCGUCGGCUCGGGCUUGGGCCUUAUUAUUAAAAAAAAAAAAAAAUACUGAACAAAUGCAGUCGAGUGCCAUAUAAAAAAAAAAGGAAAAAAUCGAGCUGACCCGGCUCACUAAGGCCCGAGCCUUAUUUUUUUGACUGAACUUUUGCUCGACUCGGCUCGCGUUCGAAAAAAGCCCAUUUAAUUUUACUCAAACCGAGCCCAAGCUUUGAGUUUCAACUCACGAGCCGGUUUGGCUUGGCUUAUUGACAUUCCUAGACCGCACUAGCAUUUUUUUAUGCUAAGCUGAUACGUAAAAAGAAUAAAAAUUCCACAUAAAAUUUUACUUUUUCAUAAUUUCAUUUUAAUUUUUUUUAUGGUGCAAGGAAAAAAAUGUGAACUGGGCCCACACCAGUAGCCCUAAUUCUGCCUCUAUUAGUAACUUAGUAGUACAAUUUAAAAGUAAAAAUUUUAUCCUUAUGGCCCUAGUUACACCACAUAAAUACAUGAUUUUGAUUUUUCAUUCAAACAAAUAUAUUUUGACUCGUUCUACGGUCUUUUCUUCUCUAUUCUUGUUUACUCUUAGUUUUGUAACAUAUUGAAUUUUCUGGUAAUCUCUACUUUGUUAAAAGAGAGAAUCCAUCCUGCACUAUUCAUUUAAGAAGCUUUGGUGAAUUUUCCAUUUUACCCUCCAAUCCUAUAUACUAAUUCCAAAAUGAGGGCUUAAUGGUCUUUAUGUAUGGAUACAAAUAAUGGUUUUUAGACACAACAUAUCUCUAGGAAUGAGUACUGUGAUCACUGUGCUACAAAAACUUCUUUCAUACGAACUCUAUAUUUUUCUCUCGAUGGGACAAAAAAGGCGAAACAAAACCCUCGGCAAAUUCAAUCGAUGAUUAUAGCUCUGUGUUGGUAGUUGCCGAAAAAAAAAAUGUUGAGUUUUGUCUAAAAUAAAAUUUUCUUGUAGAACUCGAAUAUAAUUUGGGUUGUAUUAUUACGUUGCUAAGAGCGUUCCUUAAGAGUUCAAAUUAAAGUUUUGGUCAUGAUAGUAAAGUUUCGAGUACUUGUUUUUAAAAAUUUGCAAGGUGUCAAAAUUUCUCUUAAAUGACAAAUUUAUUUUUUAUAUGGAUUGGGUUACAUUAUUUUGACGACACAUUUUACAUUAUUUAGUGUUUAAAAUUUAGAUUAGAUAACCUAUUGCAUAGUGCCAUAACCACCCCCAACUUACCUUAUCAUUUAAACCCCAUUUUUGUUAGCUAAAANNNNNNNNNNNNNNNNNNNNNNNNNNNNNNNNNNNNNNNNNNNNNNNNNNNNNNNNNNNNNNNNNNNNNNNNNNNNNNNNNNNNNNNNNNNNNNNNNNNNNNNNNNNNNNNNNNNNNNNNNNNNNNNNNNNNNNNNNNNNNNNNNNNNNNNNNNNNNNNNNNNNNNNNNNNNNNNNNNNNNNNNNNNNNNNNNNNNNNNNNNNNNNNNNNNNNNNNNNNNNNNNNNNNNNNNNNNNNNNNNNNNNNNNNNNNNNNNNNNNNNNNNNNNNNNNNNNNNNNNNNNNNNNNNNNNNNNAUUUGAAUUUGGAGGUUAUACACAUUCAACUCUCAAAUCCAUUAUCCACAUUUAUACCCAUAAUAUCCAACUUACACCAUUUUAAAUUAUUCCUAGCCGUCACCUCUAUUUGAAAUUCAAAACAAUAACUUGCUACAACCCCUAAAGCAAUGUUUUUGCUCCCAAACUAUUUUGCCUAUGCAUAAAUUUAUUUUGCCUUUUUUCAUAGACUUAAGGUACAUUGAAUCUGAAAAGUUUCUAAAGGAGAGGAUUAGAGUAUGUAGCAUUUUAUUUUGGACACAAAAAGGGUAUUUAAACUCAAGUAUUCAAGGUAGGGUGUUUUCGGCACUUUUGUAAGUGAUGUAAGAAUUAUUUGUUUUUGUUUUGCAUUAAACGUUUUAUUGUGUUACUCAUGAUGAAAUUACCGUUUGGUGGUUCAAAUAAAAGAAAGAAAUUGAAAGUACACUAAUGACCAAAGUUUGAAUUCAUGUUAUUGUGUUGCUCAUGAAAGAAGCAACGUUUGGUGGUUCAAAUAAGAGAGAGAUUGACGAUGACACAAAUUACCAAAGUUUGCAUUUUUGAAAAUAUAUAUUUUUACCAUUUACUUAUGUAUUUUCCUAUUGAGUAUUACUUGUAGUACUCAUCCCUACUAAAAUAUUUCAUAUUAAUUAGAGGGAUUGUAGUGGUUUGGCAUAGGCAAGUGCUCGGUGAUUUGAAAAGCUUUCAACUUUUUAGUAAAAUUUUCAGUUUGUGCGAAUGUCUUAUGAAUACUUAGACGACACUUUUAAAAUGUUUACAUAUCUAUUCCGUCUAAUUAUAUAUACAUUAGAUGUCACUAUAAUUUAUGAAUGUUUUAUUUGUCUAUGCAUGAAGUUUAAGUAUGCUGCAUCAAAUUUCAGAUUCUGCUCUUCUACUCAAAAUCGCAUAAUUUGGGUUACAGUACAUGUUUUAGAGUCAAAUUAGUUGGGUUUGAAAGAUUUAUGAGUCCUCUAAUAGUGGUCUUUAGAAUUACCCAAAAAUUUUACCUAGAGAAAAAGUUAUGCGAGUUUUAGUAAACUGCAUCAGGUCAGAUCCGGAUUUUCUGGCCAUUAUAGUCGAACAAUAUUUUCGUGUUUCAAACAUUAUUUCCAAGACCCCAAUUUUUAAUAUGUUGUACAAAUAUGAAUGCUUUAGUCUCUGUUAAAAUUCCAUAAAUUUUAGUCGACGUUUGUUAGACUAAACAUUUUUUUUCCUCUCUGCUGCUGCACAAUUGAUACUUGCUGAUUUUUCCCCAAAUGUUUUUUAAAUCAAAUUUUCAUCAUAUUUGUUUAAGUCUAUAUGGAAAAAUACUUACACUAUUUUUAUAUAUUUCAAACUCCAAAAUUUUUCUCAUUUACAAUUUAUUUUGAUUAACAUCAAAGGGGUCAAACCAAAGAAAGAUUGAUUUUUAACGCUUCAGGUUUCGAGAGUUCAGGGCGUUACAGUGUCUUCAUCCUGUUGUGAUUUUGCAAUGGCUUUUGUACGUGUUGCUGUGAUUUGCUCAUUUGCAGUGGCAUUUGUACAUUUGCUGCAUAUUCUUGUAUUUAUAUCCUCAACUUGUGAAGUAUGUCGAUUUAAACUUUUCCUUCAGCUUAUGGUUCUUCUUUUCAAAAAAAUUUAGUGCAGAAAAACUGAGAAGGUUGAGAUAUAUUCCAUAGAACUUCAUUUUUGUGUCUCUUUCUUCCAGUUCCUUCAACCUUAUUGCUUUUUUAUUCGAUUUAUUAAGCAGGAAUUUCAAGACAUUUUUUCCCCUUCAACCUUAUUGCAUCAUUUCAACCCUUCCAAAGUAUUGUCAAGCAAGAAUUUCAAUAGUAGGGAUUACUAUUCCUGGGUCGAGUUUCUUGCGAUUCGGGUUCUCAGGUCGUGGAAUUUAAUAUUGUUGGUGAGGUGAUUCUUUUGCUAGAAUUUAUGAAUUUCUAUUUUAUGGGUUCCAAAUUAGAAGGUUUUGUUUGUCUAGGUAAAAAUGAGAGUGUUUUGGUGACAUAUUUUUAAGAUUAUUCUUAUUCAUGUUGGUGUUCAUAUAAGUCACUGUUAGUUUCUGGUUCAAAGUUUAUGGGCCUAUAGUAAUAAACGGUAGCGAUAUCGAUUGGAUGCAGUUGAUUUUGCUGUCCAAAAUCAGAGCGAAUGAAAUUUUGCCAAUUUGAACAACCAGCAUCCAUGUAAUCCUCACUUACAUAAAACAAUUUAAUAAAAGAUUUCACAGUAAUUUUUGCCCUAAAAGAUAUAUCAAAUAAAUCAUUUUGUAAGUAACAAGCUAUCAACAAAUGUCACUAUAAACACAAACUUAGGUUAUUUGUCAAGAUUUCAUCAACUUAGUUGAAUGAGAAUGUAUUGAGAAAUAGAUGCUUGGCCCUUGCAAGCAUGUUUGUGUUCAAGCUAGAAAUAGCCAUCGAAUAUGGAAAAAAACCCUCACUUUAUUAAUUUAAAUUGCAUGCAAGACAUAAAUGUGCAUUAUUUUGAUAGGUGACAUGUUCAAUAGGAUUUGGAACUCACUCUUACACCAGUGAACUAAGAAUUUGUAAAGUGCAGCAUAUUGUGGAAUUUAGGCUAAUGAAAGAUGGAUAGAUAAAUUGUUUUCACUGGUUAUAUGUUGGCCAUAUUUCUUUUUACGUGCGUAUAAAGUGUCACCCCCAAAUCCAUAGAUAUAGAAUCCUCUAAUAUCCCUUGUUGAACAUGAGUACUCAUUUUCUUCUACGGGUUUUUAAAUUCAUUCUGUAAAUCACUCAGGAUUUUUCUUUCUUAGUUUCACGUUGGCUUGACGAUAAUGAAUUGAAGUACUUGGUGAUUAGAAGUCGGUAAGAAAGCCCUCUUUCAUUCCUUCGAAUAGGCAGGUUUUUAUUUUGAUACGCUGAUAUCUUUUCACAUAGAUAAACACCUAUAGCACAAAGGGAAUAUAAAGAACAAAGAGAAAUUAUACCCACAACUAAAGGAAACUCCUGCACACACUUCUACAUACAUGAACAUUAUGGUUCUCCAACAUUUGUGUACAUUGGCAUAAAUAUAGAUGUUAGGAUAUUUAUAAUUUUCUACUUGCAUUCUUCUACUCUCUGUCAUUUGUCCACUUGCAUUCUUCUACUUUCUUCAAUAUCCUUCUACAAUCUACUUUUUAAUAGUCAGAAUUUUUCUACAUAUGUGUUCUUCUCAUCAAUGUCUGAAUAGUGUCUUCUUGUUUCUAUCAGGAUAUUUAUAAUUUUCUUGUGUUCGAAGUGUAAUUUAUGUUAUGUCCAUUAUUGGGUUUUUACAUUAAUAGGUCAAUUUGUCUUCAAAUAUUCCUUACAGCCAACUUUUUUAUUGGAAAAUUUAAUUCGAACAUUCAGAUGAUGUAACAGAUAUGCUAGUACUUUUCUUAAAUUCUUUUAGUCCCUGUUACUCACCUCGGGCUCCAGCUAUUCGAUAAGUUAUCAUAUUGUUCUCAUGGAUGUUUCGAAAAUGUGUGCAGAUGAAGAGACCAAUUCUCUUAAUUUUGAAACAAUUUUCCAUCGCAAACAACGAAAUAAAAGGCGAAGGGAUUGACAAGAUAAACUACAAAUUGGCCGCAGUGAUCAUCGCAAGAGGAUAAUUAAUACUAUGUCAUCUGGAAAUAAACUUCUAGUGUUGCACAAGUGCAACAUUCUGUAAUGCAUCAUGAUUAUGAGGCUUCUACUUCAAACCAAAAAAUGUCUAAUAUUUCCAAUUUUGAAUUACGAGGUAGUUUGACUCUACUAAACAUACCAAUGAGUGCAUUUGUAUUACCGACUUGCAUCUAUUGUAAACAUUGUGGUGCACGAAAAUUUUACGGAGAAAGUAAAGGCUUCUAUUGCUCUAAUGGAAAAGUUCAGCUUUGUAUGCCUGAUUCACCAAUUGAAUUGUAGAACUUGUUUGCUUCUAAAGAACUUAACUCUAUGGAAUUCAAAAAAAAUUGCAAGGGGAUAUAAUAACCAUUUUGCUUGCACUUCAUUUGGUGUAAAGUACAACAAUGAUAUUUUUAAAGCAUACAAAGGUAUUUAUACAUUUAGGGUCCAACAACAAGUAUAUCAUUAUGUAAAUGAACAUAUGCCACAGAACAAUCAACAAUACGCCUUCUUAUAUGCAGUUAUACUUUUAUGACAUAGAGAAUGAACUUCAAAAUCGUAUGAGAAUUUCAGAAAACUUUUUUGAAUCUACUUUGAUUGUUUUAAUUGAAAUCCUGAAAGUAAAUCCAUAUAAUAGAUUCCUUAGGUCUUUAAGUGAUAUGACUAACUUGCAUAAUCAUCGAAUACAUAUAAGAUGCGAUCCAGGACUUGAUCAAAGAGUCUUCAAUACUCCUACAGUAUCUCAAGUAGCUGUUGUAUGGGUCAAAGAUGAUAAAAAUGCCAAUGUUCAUGUUCGUGACAUUACUAUAUAUUGUCAUUCUGGUGAUUCACAUUGAGUUCAUUAUUACUAUGGUUGUUAUGAUCAUUUAUAGUAUUUUUUACUUUUUCCAUAUGGGGAAUCUGGUUGGCAUGAAGGCAUUCAAAGAUGUAGAAGCAUGUACUUUGAGCCUGAACGUUUGCUUGAAUUCGUUGAAUUUCUAAGCAAAGUUACAUCUGCAGCUGAAUUUAUCGAAAAAGAAAAUUAAGGUUUGCAAAUAUACCUUCUUGUACAUUUUUCUAACUUUUACAAUGUUGAUAAUUUAAAUGAAUACUCAAUUUCGUAUUCCUUUUCAUCUUGCAAUGCUUAACGAAACGAAGAAAUGGUCUCACGUUUCUUGCCGAGGAUAUUAUUCAUACAAAUUGAAAUUAGGCCUUUCGAUAAGUCUGUUUUAUUUCACACUGUAGAUUGUUUCAACAAUACGUUAUAGAUAUGUAUGUUAAGAUUAAAAUUGCCCGGUUAGACUAUUUUUGCAACAACCAAAAGCAGAUUCGUGCUGAACUUUACCAAGGUAUUAUAGACAACGUUGAAAAUGGAGAAACAAAGGGUUACAAAAUUGGAUGAAAUUUUGUUUUGCCACAAUCAUUUACAUGUGGACCUAGAAAUAUGCUAAGGAGAUACAUUGAUGCAAUGUAAAUUGUACAACGUUAUGGAAACUCGGAUAUAUUCUUGACUAUGACAUGUAAUCCAAAUUGGCAAGAGAUUAAGCAAAAAUUAAAACACAAUGAUGAGAUCUCGACUGGAUCUAAUUGUACGUUAUUUAGAGCAAAAUUAGAAGAAUUGAAAAAUGAUUUAUUCAAGGAAAAUACCUUAGGCCAUGUUGUUGCACACAUAUAUGUGAUUGAAUUUUUAAAAAGAGGGCUCUCUCAUGCACAUCUAUCGUUGAUUUUUAACUAUGGGCACAAAAUUUCUUCUGCUACACAUGUUGAUAAAAUAGUAUCUUGCAAAAUUCCCGAUGAAAACAAAUACCCCUAUCUUUAUUCUGUUAUUGCCAAACAUAAUAUGCAUGGCCCUUGUGGAGACCUUAAUCCAAAAAUGUAUGCAUGGAAGCAAAUAAAUGUUGCAAAAAUUAAUACCCUAGGGAUUAUUGUAAUACUACUAUCUUUGGUGAUAACUCAUAUUCAUUGUAUAAACGUCGUGAUAAUGGUAUUUCUAUUAAAGCUAGAGAUCAAAUGUUAGACAAUUGAUGGGUUGUACAGUACAAUUCUUAUUUAAGUGCAAAAUUUGUCUGUCAUAUUAAUGUUGAGAUAUGUUCUUCUAUUAAAGCUAUAAAAUAUUUAUACAAAUAUAUGUAUAAAGGCCAUGAUCGUAUUAAUUUUUUUGGUUGGCACAAAUGAAAGAGAGAAAGAAAUCGAUGAAAUCUCUGCUUAUCAAUUUGUUAGAUGAAUAUCUCCACCUGAAGCUAUGUGGAGGAUUUUUUUUGUUCAAUUUGGCAGAGAUUUAUCCAACUAUUUAUUCUUUACAGCUUCAUAUUGAAAAUCAUCAUCAAAUAAGAUAUGACAAUCAAAAUGAUUUAUCUACUGUUAUUGAGAACGAAAAUAUGAGAAUGACAAUGUUAAUAGAAUUUUCGAAUGAAUGAAGCAAAUGAACUUGCAUGUACACUGUUAUAUCGAGAUUUCCCAACAAAUUUUGUUUGAAGUUCAACUAAAAAGAUUUGGACUCCUAGAAAGAAAAAAUUUGUUAUAGAACGAAUUGUCACAGCAAAUCCAUCUGAAGGAGGCGAUAUUUCCUCUAUGUUCUUCCCAAUCAUAUUCAAGGUCCAACAUCAUUCCAAGAUUUACACACUUUAAACAGGAAAACUGUUAGAACAUACAGAGAAGCUGUAAUUUUACAUGGUUUGUUAAGCGGAGACAAUCAUUAUGAAUAAUGUUUAUCUGAAACUAUUAUUUAUGAAAUGUCUAUUUCUUUAAAACGUCUUUUUGCUACAGUUCUUAUGCUUUGCAACCCUGAUCAUCCAAAGUCGUUGAGGGAUAAAUUCAAGGAUUAUAUGACUGAUGAUUACAUACAUGAGGAUAUGCCUCUAGAAGUUGCUGAACUACAAGUCUCAGAAGACAUCAGUUCUGUUUUAGAAUCAUUUGGUAAAAAUAUAAAUGACUAUGAAAUGGUGUCAUUCAGUGAAGGUAUAGAUGAGAAUGAAAGGUUGAGAAGAAUGAUUGUAGAGGAGACAACAAUUUUGGAUAUUGAAGGAGGUCACGCUUGUGCAGCAAGCUUGAAUAAUGAACUACAAUUUGCAUAUGAUUCAAUCAUGGGAAAAGUAAAUUCAAAAUCAAGUGGGGUCUUCUUCAUAGAUGGUCCUAGAGGAAUAGGCAAGACCUUUUUAUAUAAAGCUUUCCUAAUUGGUGUGAGGUCCCAAAAUUUAAUUGCUUUGGCAACUAUAUCUUCUGGAGUUUUUGCAUCUCUUUUACCUGGAGGUCGAAUGGCGAAGUUAGCUGCUUUUUUAGCAAGCAAUCAGCUUUGGUAACUUUGUUGAAAACUAAUACAUUGGGAUGAAGCACCUAUGGUGAAUCGUUGUGCUGUAGAAGCUGUAGAUAGAAUGCUCAAAGAUAUUACUAGUUGUAACUUGUCUUUUCGUGAAAAAGUAGUAGUUCUUGGGAGAGAUUUUCAACAAGUUCUACCGGUAGUGCCGAGAGGGAAAAAAAGACAUAAUAAAGGCUACUUUGGUCUUCUCUAACCUAUGACCUUUGUAUUCACAUCUACUGUUGGUUGAAAACAUGAGGGCAAGUUAGAUCCAACAUUCUCUGCUUACUUGCUUAGAAUUGGAAAUGGAACGGAGCAAGAACAUACUUGUAGCUGCAUUAUACUUCCAAACAGAAUAAUUGUUCUCAACAGCUUCGAACGUAUCAAACAUCUCUUUAUCAGAGCACAAAUGCCUUGUAGCACCGAUGUCAAUCCACCACUCUUUAGGGUUUGAACCCACCAUGUUUACUUCAGAAAUGACUGCUGCGAGAUUCAGCUCCGACACAUUUUGUGCCAUGUAGUCAAUCACGUUCGCUUCUUUCUUGUUAUUCGGUAAUCUACACUCCGAAGACUUGUGACCCACUUUGUCACAAUUAAAGCAUUUCCCUUGGAAUUUCUUCUUGACAAUUCCACCUUUCGGUCCUUGCUUGGUUCUUUUGCCACCGGAUGGCCCAGACUUGUUUUUGUAGUUCUUACUACUUUGACCAAACUCCACAACAUUGACUUUAGCCACAUCAUGAUUGAACCAUUUCUUCUCGGAACUCUUGUUGUCUUCUUCGAUUCGAAGUCUAACAAUGAGUUCUUCGACGUUCAUUUCCUUUCGUUUGUGUUUCAAAUAGUUCUUGAAAUCUUUUCACACGGAGGACAAUUUUUCUAUAAUUGCAGCCACCUGAAAAGUUUCACUCAACAUCAUUCCUUCGGCAUGAAUUUCGUGAAGGAUCACUUGGAGUUCUUGCACUUGACUGAUAACAGUUUUGGAGUCUACCAUCUAUAGUCUAGGAAUUUGCCGACUAUAAACUUUUUAGCCCCGACAUCCUCAGUUUUGUAUUUCCGGUCCAAGGACUCCCACAAUUCCUUAGCAGUUUUUAUGGUGCUAUACACAUUGUACAGCGCAUCUGCUAGGCUGUUCAUGAUAUAAUUUCGGUACAGAAAGUCCGAAUGCUUCCAAGCAUCAAGUGCACUCAAUGCUUGCACAUCUCCCUCGCCUUUAUUAAGCUUUGGAGCAGUUUCAGUUAAGAAUCUUGCAAGAUUCAAGGUGAUCAAGUAAAAAAGCAUUUUCUGCUGCCACCUUUUGAAAUUCAAGCCAUUGAAUUUCUUCGAUUUUUUUCCAUGAUUAACUGGAACAGUUAUAGUUUGGCUAGUUUGGCUCACAAUAUGACUUGACAUUCUAGCCAUAGUCUGAGCUACAACGGAGCUUGGCCCUUGAGCCACAUUAGAACCCACAGCCUGAUUUACAGCGGGAACAUUUUGGGUCACAUCUAUGUUGUUUGAUUCGGUUUCCAUUUCUGAAAACAAACCAAAUAUUAGUUCCAAGAAACUACAAUUCAAUGAAACAAAAAAAAAACUACUCUAGUUUUUGAAAAACAAAUAUUAGUUCCAAGUAACUAAAAUUCAAUUAAUCAAAAAACCAACUCUUGUUUUCCGAAUUUAGAAACAAUCUUAAGCUUGUAGGAAAACAAGUCGCUAAUGGAUGAAACCGAUUGUAUAAGUUUUAUUCAAAUGCAAUAGCCGACUAUUGAAAUUAAUAACCACAAGGGAAACGAUUUCAAUUUAUCAAAAAAAUUCCGUUUCAGAAUUUUCCAACGGCUGGAAAAAAAUGUUUAGCAACAUAAAAUCAGAAAUAUAAGUUAACUGCAGGCUAAAACUGUAAACGAUGAAUUAAAUAGUAAUGGGAAAAUAAUAUGCAGAAAUAAAUGGAAACUGAUGCAAAAAUAAUCUGCAGAAAUAAAUUGAAACUGAAUCUGCAAAGAAACUACACGAAUUGCAACGAAAUAAAUCUGCAGAAAGAAAACACAAACUGCAGCAAAUUUCAAACCGAGGUCUGUGCGUACACAGUUUCCUUAAGACAGUUUCGCCCUCUCACCGCAGGUGCUAGAAGUUCAGUUUGAGCAGCAGAAAAGAAGAAACUGUAUAUACAGGAAUGUAGUUGAGAUUUUUGAAUGUGUUAGAUUGUUGGAGAAUGAGCCUUUUUCUAGGCAUAUUGCCCAUUAAUACCAUUGGAAGUCUAUUGGAGUUUUUUCAGUUUAGAAACUCAAAAGUCAUUGAAGAAGACCAAAAAAAAUUGGCAAAACGUGGGCUCUCUGAUGAGGCCAUUUUUGCUUUGUUCGGUCCGACAUUCGUGUGUGCAGGUCGCGCCCGCAUCCAAGUUCAAGGUCCGAAUGCCAUUUUGGUUCGUGAUUUGCACCCCCUGCGCGCGCACGUGAAGAGAGCCUCUAUGCUACACAUGAUUACACAUCUUCAAAGCAUAGCUAUAUAUAAAGUGGUUUGAGUUUUUUUGAUUUUCCUAUGUGGAAUAAAUACAUUUUUUCCCACAAAACCAACUUUCAAUGACCAACUUUGAGUUCUAAUUUCUCAUUCACCCAAGUUUCAUUUUUGGCAAAUAAAUACAUGAAAUCGAUGUUCUCGCGGAGGAGAACACAUAUCAACUUUGAUAUUCCACAUUUGACCAACGGGUCCCAUCGAAAAUUGUGUCAAAAGUAAGCUGCUCACUCAAUUUUUUCCAACACAGUUAACAGAAUCAAUCCAACUCCACCACACGACCUUCAAACACUUACUCUUGGAACGAAGAUGAAAAUGAAAAUUAUAUGCAGAGUAAUACCAGGAAAAUGAACAAGAUGAAAUACUAAUUUCUUCAAAAUUUUCCUCCAGAACCAUGAACCGUAUGUGUCUGAGCCUGCAUAAACGGUACAUGAGUAAUUCACGUGGAGAAAUAAGUGUGGUAAAAUUCAAGAAAGAACGAACCAUGCCCUUCUGGCCUUUCAUAUCUUACCUGAAACUUUAUAGUUUAUUUAUAGAAUCAAUAAAACGAGUGUGCAAGUCCACAAUACGUUAAAAUGAAUAGGGAUUAUAUCAGGAUAUGAAAGCACAAAAUUCAAUAUUUAUUUCAUGAGCUAGAACAACCAAAGAUAAGAAUUUGGGUGUGCCCAUAGAAAAAUAGCAGAAACUUACUGUGGUUUGAUGAAGAAUGGGUCGUUGUAAAGGAAAUCUUGAAAGAGCUGAGGAGAGAUGAGUAGCCAUCUCUCUCUGUUUCUAUCUAUACAUCAGUAUAUUUAUCUCCUUGUAAUAAAAAAUUUCAAACUUAAAAAUAAAAAAUAUGUAUAAACUAAUAAACGUGGCAAAUGAGUGUUGUGUCCCAAACCGACGUGC